This 86-nucleotide transfer RNA is filed under the name Caudoviricetes sp. RNAcentral's name for it is "tRNA-Tyr". It matches the Rfam family "tRNA". From Rfam's summary of the family: Transfer RNA (tRNA) molecules are approximately 80 nucleotides in length. Their secondary structure includes four short double-helical elements and three loops (D, anti-codon, and T loops). The record is from RNAcentral. Lineage: Duplodnaviria; Heunggongvirae; Uroviricota; Caudoviricetes.
GGGAGAGCGGUGAUGAUGGUGGAAUCACGGCGGACUGUAAAUCCGUUACAUUAGAAACGUUGCAGGUUCGACUCCUGCCUCUCUCA